GGCCGCGUAGCUCAAUUUGCAUAGAGCAAGGGACUCCUAAGCCCUAGGUUGCCGGUUGGAUUCCGGCCGCGGUCACCA
RNAcentral lists this transfer RNA (78 nucleotides) under Herpetosiphonaceae bacterium. Its description in RNAcentral is "tRNA-Arg". It matches the Rfam family "tRNA". From Rfam's summary of the family: Transfer RNA (tRNA) molecules are approximately 80 nucleotides in length. The record is from RNAcentral. Lineage: Bacteria; Bacillati; Chloroflexota; Chloroflexia; Herpetosiphonales; Herpetosiphonaceae.